ACAGUUAUGCAGGCAGCCAAAGAGGCCCUAAAGUUCACUGCAUAUUAGAGCAACGAAUUUCAUAGACCAAGAAAUGUGGAUUGCCUCCAGAAUCAAAUAGUUUUAGCUCUCAAUAGCACCAUUUUGAUAAGCAUGAAGACAAAUGAUCUGAAAUAAAGUGCCAAAGGAGACAUGAUCGAAAUGGAAACCAGAUGCAUGCCUCAUUUCCAAAGUGCAAGGAGGAUUAUGAUGACUUUAAAAAGGUGAGU
RNAcentral lists this long non-coding RNA (248 nucleotides) under Phoenix dactylifera (date palm). Its description in RNAcentral is "long non-coding RNA (PDAC_LNC021622)". Lineage: Eukaryota; Viridiplantae; Streptophyta; Magnoliopsida; Arecales; Arecaceae. The record is from RNAcentral.